CAAACACUCUAUGAUUGUUAACAUGCAUAUCAUCAUUAUGGAUGAAGUAUACUUAUGAUACUCGGAUCAGGCAGGAAUAAACAUCAUGGACUACCUGCAGGUUGACUUCUCAGUGGUAUGGCAGGUCUGAGUGUACCUAAGAGGGUCACGACCCUUACAGACUUUGAGACUGAUCUGGACAAACAGGACCGAGGAGCUGCUGCAGGACAUGGAAUGUUCCUUUUGUUUUUUCUUUGUUCCACUUUUUUGUUGAAAAGGUAGAAAAUUCCUUCCUCACAUUGGCAGCAGUCUAAGAAGAUUUUGCACAACUAAAUGGAUAAAUGCUUAGGUAGUGCUUGGUGUUGGUGUUGUAACUGAGAGUUCAUUCUUUUUUAUUUUCUCCUUCUAAGACACUAAAGAUUCAAUUUAGGAUUAAGACAAGCACUUUUUUACUUUUGAAGAUUUUUUGGUUUUCAGUACAGCUUGUCUCUAUAAUCUGUGUCCAACAUAAUAUAUGUUUCCUAUUCAUCCAGUAACAUGUGGAACAUAUAUUUUCUUAAUAAAAAAAGCCACUGUUAGUGAUUUAGAA
Non-coding RNA from Labrus bergylta (ballan wrasse), 568 nucleotides. The record is from RefSeq and is a predicted model, not a curated record. NCBI's taxonomy places the organism in Eukaryota, Metazoa, Chordata, Actinopteri, Labriformes, Labridae.